GAAAGCCUGACGGAGCAAUGCCGCGUGAGUGAUGAAGGUUUUCGGAUCGUAAAGCUCUGUUGCCAGGGAAGAACGCUUGAGAGAGUAACUGCUCUCAAGGUGACGGUACUGAGAAGAAAGCCCCGGCUAACUACGUGCCAGCAGCCGCGGUAAUACGUAGGGGGCAAGCGUUGUCCGGAAUUAUUGGGCGUAAAGCGCGCGCAGGCGGUCAUUUAAGUCUGGUGUUUAAUCCCGGGGCUCAACCCCGGAUCGCACUGGAAACUGGGUGACUUGAGUGCAGAAGAGGAGAGUGGAAUUCCACGUGUAGCGGUGAAAUGCGUAGAUAUGUGGAGGAACACCAGUGGCGAAGGCGACUCUCUGGGCUGUAACUGACGCUGAGGCGCGAAAGCGUGGGGAGCAAACAGGAUUAGAUACCCUGGUAGUCCACGCCGUAAACGAUGAGUGCUAGGUGUUAGGGGUUUCGAUACCCUUGGUGCCGAAGUUAACACAUUAAGCACUCCGCCUGGGGAGUACGGUCGCAAGACUGAAACUCAAAGGAAUUGACGGGGACCCGCACAAGCAGUGGAGUAUGUGGUUUAAUUCGAAGCAACGCGAAGAACCUUACCAGGUCUUGACAUCCCUCUGACCGGUACAGAGAUGUACCUUUCCUUCGGGACAGAGGAGACAGGUGGUGCAUGGUUGUCGUCAGCUCGUGUCGUGAGAUGUUGGGUUAAGUCCCGCAACGAGCGCAACCCUUGAUCUUAGUUGCCAGCAUUUCGGAUGGGCACUCUAAGGUGACUGCCGGUGACAAACCGGAGGAAGGUGGGGAUGACGUCAAAUCAUCAUGCCCCUUAUGACCUGGGCUACACACGUACUACAAUGGCCGGUACACCGGGCUGCGAAGCCGCGAGGUGGAGCUAAUCCUAAAAAGCCGGUCUCAGUUCGGAUUGCAGGCUGCAACUCGCCUGCAUGAAGUCGGAA
This 960-nucleotide ribosomal RNA is filed under the name Paenibacillus sp. HaRB008. RNAcentral describes it as "bacterial SSU rRNA". It matches the Rfam family "Bacterial small subunit ribosomal RNA", at positions 377 to 1331 of the family's 1533-position model. The record is from RNAcentral. Lineage: Bacteria; Bacillati; Bacillota; Bacilli; Caryophanales; Paenibacillaceae.